Molecule: unclassified non-coding RNA, 354 nt
Filed under: soil metagenome
Description: partial contains 5.8S ribosomal RNA, internal transcribed spacer 2, and large subunit ribosomal RNA
Rfam family: 5.8S ribosomal RNA (bases 1-121)
Source: RNAcentral
GAUGAAGAACGCAGCGAAAUGCGAUAAGUAAUGCGAAUUGCAGAAUUCCAGUGAGUCAUCGAAUCUUUGAACGCACAUUGCGCCCAUUGGUAUUCCGAUGGGCAUGCCUGUUCGAGCGUCAUUAUCAACCCUCAGGCCCCCGGGCCUGGCGUUGGGGAUCGGCGGAGCCCCCCGUGGGCACACGCCGUCCCCCAAAUGCAGUGGCGGUCCCGCCGCAGCUUCCAUCGCGUAGUAGCUAACACCUCGCGACUGGAGAGCGGCGCGGCCACGCCGUAAAACACCCAACUCUUCUGAAGUUGACCUCGAAUCAGGUAGGAAUACCCGCUGAACUUAAGCAUAUCAAUAAGCGGAGGA